This 433-nucleotide ribosomal RNA is filed under the name uncultured bacterium. Its description in RNAcentral is "partial 16S ribosomal RNA". It matches the Rfam family "Bacterial small subunit ribosomal RNA", at positions 29 to 507 of the family's 1533-position model. The record is from RNAcentral.
AACGAACGCUGGCGGCAUGCCUAACACAUGCAAGUCGAACGAGACCUUCGGGUAUAGUGGCGCACGGGUGCGUAACGCGUGGGAACCUGCCCUUAGGUUCGGAAUAACUCCCCGAAAGGGGUGCUAAUACCGGAUAAUGUCUUCGGACCAAAGAUUUAUCGCCUUUGGAUGGGCCCGCGUUGGAUUAGCUAGUUGGUAAGGUAAAAGCCUACCAAGGCGACGAUCCAUAGCUGGUCUGAGAGGAUGAUCAGCCACACUGGGACUGAGACACGGCCCAGACUCCUACGGGAGGCAGCAGUGGGGAAUAUUGGACAAUGGGCGAAAGCCUGAUCCAGCAAUGCCGCGUGAGUGAUGAAGGCCUUAGGGUUGUAAAGCUCUUUUACCCGGGAUGAUAAUGACAGUACCGGGAGAAUAAGCUCCGGCUAACUCCGUG